RNAcentral lists this ribosomal RNA (483 nucleotides) under uncultured bacterium. RNAcentral's name for it is "partial 16S ribosomal RNA". It matches the Rfam family "Bacterial small subunit ribosomal RNA", at positions 30 to 506 of the family's 1533-position model. The record is from RNAcentral.
AUUGAACGCUGGCGGCAGGCCUAACACAUGCAAGUCGAGCGGAUGAAGGGAGCUUGCUCCUGGAUUCAGCGGCGGACGGGUGAGUAAUGCCUAGGAAUCUGCCUGGUAGUGGGGGAUAACGUCCGGAAACGGGCGCUAAUACCGCAUACGUCCUGAGGGAGAAAGUGGGGGAUCUUCGGACCUCACGCUAUCAGAUGAGCCUAGGUCGGAUUAGCUAGUUGGUGGGGUAAAGGCCUACCAAGGCGACGAUCCGUAACUGGUCUGAGAGGAUGAUCAGUCACCCUGGAAGUGAGAACCGGCCCGGAUCCCACGGGGGGGCAGAGGGGGGAAAUUUUGGAAAAGGGGCGAAAGCCUGAUCCAGCCAUGCCGGGGGGGUGAAGAAGGUUUUCGGUUUGUAAAGCACUUUAAGUUGGGGGGAAGGGAAGUAAGUUAAUCCCUUGCUUUUUGGACUUUACCAACAAAAUAAACCCGGGCGAACUUCGU